Betta splendens (Siamese fighting fish) is the source of this 141-nucleotide small nuclear RNA. Its record names the gene U4. It matches the Rfam family "U4 spliceosomal RNA". From Rfam's summary of the family: U4 small nuclear RNA (U4 snRNA) is a component of the major U2-dependent spliceosome. The structure of U4 snRNA from yeast and human has been reported. NCBI's taxonomy places the organism in Eukaryota, Metazoa, Chordata, Actinopteri, Anabantiformes, Osphronemidae. The record is from Ensembl.
AGCUUUGCGCAGUGGCAGUAUCGUAGCCUAUGAGGUUUAUCCGAGGCGCGAUUAUUGCUAGUUGAAAACUUUACCCAAUACCCCGCCUUGACGACUUGAAAUAUAGUCGGCAACGGCAAUUUUUGACGGUCUCGAAGGAGA